GCAAUGGUCGGCAUCGCUUUUUUGCGGGGGACUUUAAAUCCUCGUGUCACCAUUAGGAAAACGAGGAUGAUACUC
Molecule: transfer RNA, 75 nt
Filed under: Erysimum handel-mazzettii
Lineage: Eukaryota; Viridiplantae; Streptophyta; Magnoliopsida; Brassicales; Brassicaceae
Description: partial tRNA-Phe
Source: RNAcentral